Molecule: long non-coding RNA, 370 nt
Organism: Pezoporus flaviventris
Lineage: Eukaryota; Metazoa; Chordata; Aves; Psittaciformes; Psittacidae
Exons: 3
Source: RefSeq, a predicted model, not a curated record
CACGGCAGAGGUGUUGGGGGAGAUGCAGUAAGCUGGAACACUCUUCUGAAUGGAGCUUAGAGCUUUCUGAUGGGUGCGGCACCUCUUGGCAUCUGAGAUCAGGCCCUGCUGAAACUAUUGCUCAAUCAAAGGAGAUGCAUUCCAAAGAAGUCAUCACUCAUUUGCAGUUGUUGCAAAAUUGGUUUCUCUUAUGGAUUAAACCUAUGUAUCUAACACAGCAGAGAAGUUAUAAUUCCACAGUAUCAAUAUGGCUGGAAAGAAUAAUGGCUGAGGUAGCACAGUACAGACAGUUCCACCCUUCAAACAUGUCUUGCUAUGACCUUUGUGCUCCCACCUCCUGUGGCCCAACCCCACUGGCGAAUAGUUGCAA